UUAGAACUUAAAUAUUUUAAUUUUCAAACUAAAUGAGAGUUCAUUGAAACGUUGUUACUUGAACUCGUAAUAAAUUAAACGUAUUAAGAGACACGGAAAAAAAAAAUGAAAAUUGAAGCAUUCGUGAGAUGAAAUGAACAGAAACAGGAAACUGUCGGAUUAAAUUAUUAAUUCAUAAUAAUCGGUUUGAUGGUCAG
This is a non-coding RNA of Caenorhabditis elegans, 197 nucleotides long. Lineage: Eukaryota; Metazoa; Nematoda; Chromadorea; Rhabditida; Rhabditidae. The record is from Ensembl.